AUGGCUGCUGAGCUUGGGCAUCUCGCCCGAGCAGCUGCAGCAAUUCUCUGCCUGUUGAUUUUCCAUGUUGCACCGGCUGAUUCCCUUGCUAAAGCGAGGGUAUCAGGUGGGACUGGAACCUGCAUCAGCAGGGAGCUUGAUGCGCUUUUGUCCUUCAAGGAAGGCCUUCUCGACCCUACUGGCCGUCUGUCGUCAUGGCAUGGCGUAGAUUGCUGUCAGUGGCAUGGUGUCCGGUGCAGCAGCAGAACAGGCCAUGUCAUCAAGCUCAACCUCCGCAACACCUACACUGACAACUACUACAACUACAUGUUGAACAGCCUAAGCUUGUCGAGAGAUGAGAUGAGCUCAUCUUUGGCUGCUCUGCAAAAGUUGAGGUAUCUUGAUCUGAGUGGGAAUGACUUCAAUGGCACCAGCAUACCUGUGUUUGUGGGCUCUCUGGAGAACCUAAGGUACCUCAACCUCUCGUUGUCAAGUUUUAGUGGGAGAAUACCUUCACAACUUGGUAAUCUCUCAAAUUUGCAAUAUCUUGAUAUUGGUAGUGAUUUUUUCAAUGAGGUCAAAGUAAUGGAUCUUGCAUGGUUGUCGCGUCUAUCAAUGUUGAGUCAUGUUGUCUUGAGAGGAGUGGACCUCCCUGCUGUGCGGAAUUGGUUUCACAUGGUUAACAUGCUUGCUUCUCUAAAAGCGCUCCGCUUAGUAAAUUGUGGCCUUACAAACACAGUGGCUGCUACUUCAGUAUCAAUAUCAAACCUCACACAUCUUGAAGUCCUUGAUCUAUCAUUCAACUCAUUUAACACAUCACUAGAGCACAGCUGGUUUUGGGAUCUCACAAGCCUUAAGGAACUUUACCUAUCAUCUUGCUACUGGCAUGGAUCUAUUCCUAAACAACUGGGAAACAUGACUAACCUUCAAGUCAUGGAUUUUGAUCAGAAUGAUCUUGUGGGUUUGAUACCGAGCAACUUGGAAAAUUUGUGCAAUUUGAAAGUGCUUGAUUUCAGCCGUAACAACAUUAGUGCGAGCAUAGGGGAGUUCAUGGAUCGAUUGCCGAGGUGCUCAUGGAGUACUAUACAAAUAUUGUCAAUGGAUGAGACAAAUAUGAUCGGAAAACUGCCAAUAUGGAUCGGGAACAUGACCAGCCUCAGUGUUCUUUCAGCCAGUGGAAACAUGAUAACUGGUACUGUACCAUUGGGAGUUGGAGCCCUUGGUAACUUGACAUCGUUGGAUCUCGGCUACAAUAAAAUCGAUGGUGUGCUCAGGAAGGAGCAUUUUUCUGGUUUACUGAAUUUAGAGUAUCUGGACUUGUGGGAGAACUCGUUGCACAUGGAUAUUGAACCAAAUUGGGGUCCUCCGUUUAGACUAAAGGUCCUACGCUUAAAGUCAUGCACAGUGGGUCCCCGUUUUCCAGAGUGGCUUAGAUGGCAGACUGACAUUGAUUCUCUUGCUCUCCAAGAUGCAAAGUUGGAUGACGUUAUUCCUGAUUGGUUUUGGGUGACAUUUUCACGAGCUGGGUACUUGGAUGCAUCAGGAAACAUGUUGCGUGGUUCAUUACCGGCGAAUCUACAACACAUGUCAGCAAACAUGUUAAGUCUGGUCUCCAAUAAUCUUACAGGUCAAGUUCCACGGCUCUUUCCUAUAAAUAUAACAGAUAUAUAUCUGUCUUCAAACUAUUUCUCGGGGUCAUUGCCAUCGGAGCUAGAAGCUCCACUACUCGGAGGAUUGUUGCUUGCAGAUAAUCAAAUUACAGGCACCAUUCCAUCGUCCAUGUGCCAAUUGACUAGUCUGAUGCGGUUGGACCUAUCGGGGAACAAAUUAACAGGAGAUGUUAUGCAGUGCUGGAAGGAGUCAGAUAACAAUUCUUCGGCGUUCGGUGCAAACUCUGCUGAUCAAUUUGGUUCAUAUAUGGGUACUCUAGCAUUGAACAACAAUGAUCUCUCAGGUGAAUUCCCUAAAUUUCUUCAAAGGGCCUCACAACUGAUGUUCCUUGAUCUUUCACACAAUAGGUUCUUUGGAACAUUGCCAAUGUGGUUACCAGAAAAAAUGCCACGCUUGGAAAUCUUAAGGGUGAGAUCAAACAUAUUCAGUGGCCAUAUUCCUAAGAACCUUACUUUUCUAGGAAAUCUUCACUAUUUGGACAUGGCCUAUAACAAUAUAUCAGGCAGUAUACCAUGGUCACUAUCAAACUUGGAUGCCAUGGUCAAUAUUAGGCAUAGGCUUUUACAACCUCUUCUUGAGGAGAGCAUGCCAGUCAUCAUAAAAGGACAGACACGUGAAUAUACCUUUCAAAGCUACAAUCUACUGGUGAAUCUUGAUCUUUCAUGUAACAGUUUAACAGGACAGAUUCCCGAGGAGAUAAGUUUGCUCAUUGGGCUCACCGGUCUGAACUUAUCUGGUAAUCAGUUGAUCGGCAAAAUUCCAAACAAGAUUGGCGAUCUGAAGCGGUUGGAGUCCCUCGAUCUAUCCUACAACGAGUUAUCUGGUGAAAUCCCAUCAAGUUUGUCAGCUUUAACCUCUCUGAGCCACUUGAACUUGUCGUAUAACAAUUUAUCAGGCCCGGUACCAUCCGGGCAACAACUACAGAUUCUCGACAACCUGAACUAUACCUACAUUGGCAACCCUGACCUCUGUGGCUACCCUCUCUCCAAGAACUGCUCUGCUAGUACUACUGAUGUGAAGCAAAGUCUCGGCCAUGAAGAUGCAGAUCAUAUCUCAUAUCUCUACCUUGGGAUGGGCAUAGGAUUUGUGGUCGGCCUUUGGGUGGUGUUCUGCACCAUGUUACUGAGGAGAACCUGGGUGAUUGCCUACUUUCAGGUCAUCGACAAGCUGUAUGAUGAGGCCUAUGUGCGGGUGGUUAUAACUUGGGCUCGCCUGAUGAAGAAGACCCACGACGACGCAGCGUGA
Molecule: ribosomal RNA, 2895 nt
Filed under: Triticum aestivum (bread wheat)
Lineage: Eukaryota; Viridiplantae; Streptophyta; Magnoliopsida; Poales; Poaceae
Description: partial small subunit ribosomal RNA
Source: RNAcentral